UACCUGGUUGAUUCUGCCAGUAGUCAUACGCUUGUCUCAAAGAUUAAGCCAUGCAUGUCUAAGUUCAAGCGAAAAUAAAGUGAAACCGCGAAUGGCUCAUUACAUCAGUUAUGGUUCCUUAGAUCGCACUUACUACUUGGAUAACUGUGGUAAUUCUAGAGCUAAUACAUGCACUGAGCUCCAACCCUCGUGGAAGGAGCGCUUUUAUUAGAUCAAAGCCAAUCGGGCCUUCGGGUCCGUACCGUUGGUGACUCUGAAUAACUUUGCUGAUCGCAUGGUCUCGUACCGGCGACGUAUCUUUCAAGUGUCUGCCUUAUCAACUGUCGAUGGUAGGUUAUGCGCCUACCAUGGUUGUAACGGGUAACGGGGAAUCAGGGUUCGAUUCCGGAGAGGGAGCCUGAGAAACGGCUACCACAUCCAAGGAAGGCAGCAGGCGCGCAAAUUACCCACUCCCGGCACGGGGAGGUAGUGACGAAAAAUAACGAUACGGAACUCAUACGAGGCUCCGUAAUCGGAAUGAGUACACUUUAAAUCCUUUAACGAGGAUCUAUUGGAGGGCAAGUCUGGUGCCAGCAGCCGCGGUAAUUCCAGCUCCAAUAGCGUAUAUUAAAGUUGUUGCGGUUAAAAAGCUCGUAGUUGGAUCUCGGUUUCGGGCGGGCGGUGCACCUUGCGGUGUUUACUGUCUGCCCGGACGAUUUUGUUGGUUCGUUCGUGGUUCUCUUAACCGAGUGCCACGGGUGGCCAGCACGUUUACUUUGAAAAAAUUGGAGUGCUCAAAGCAGGCGCUACAGCCUGAACAUUAGUGCAUGGAAUAAUGGAAUAGGACCUCGGUUCUAUUUCGUUGGCUUUCGGAGUCGAGGUAAUGAUUAAUAGGAACAGACGGGGGCAUUCGUACUGCGACGUUAGAGGUGAAAUUCUUGGAUCGUCGCAAGACGAACUACUGCGAAAGCAUUGNCCAAGAAUGUUUUCAUUAAUCAAGAACGAAAGUUAGAGGUUCGAAGGCGAUCAGAUACCGCCCUAGUUCUAACCAUAAACGAUGCCGACCGGCGAUCCGCCGUCGUUAAUUGAAUGACUCGGCGGGCAGCCUCCGGGAAACCAGAGUGUUUGGGUUCCGGGGGAAGUAUGGUUGCAAAGCUGAAACUUAAAGGAAUUGACGGAAGGGCACCACCAGGAGUGGAGCCUGCGGCUUAAUUUGACUCAACACGGGAAAUCUCACCAGGCCCGGACACCGGAAGGAUUGACAGAUUGAGAGCUCUUUCUUGAUUCGGUGGGUGGUGGUGCAUGGCCGUUCUUAGUUGGUGGAGCGAUUUGUCUGGUUAAUUCCGAUAACGAACGAGACUCUGGCCUACUAACUAGAUGUAGGAUCCCUUUGUGGGUCCGUCACUGCUUCUUAGAGGGACGGGCGGCUUUUAGCCGCACGAGAAUGAGCAAUAACAGGUCUGUGAUGCCCUUAGAUGUUCUGGGCUGCACGCGCGCUACACUGAAGGAAUCAGCGUGUGUUCCCUACCCGAAAGGGUUGGGAAACCCGUUGAACCUCCUUCGUGAUGGGGAUUGGGGAUUGCAAUUAUUCCCCAUGAACGAGGAAUUCCCAGUAGGCGCGAGUCAUAAGCUUGCGUCGAUUACGUCCCUGCCCUUUGUACACACCGCCCGUCGCUACUACCGAUCGAGUGAUUUAGUGAGGACUUCGGACUGGUCUUCGUGGUGGCUCUCGAGUCAUCGCGGAGUUCCGGAAAGAUGCCCAAACUUGAUCACUAAGAGGGAGUAAAAGUCGUAACA
RNAcentral lists this ribosomal RNA (1776 nucleotides) under uncultured eukaryote. Its description in RNAcentral is "SSU rRNA". It matches the Rfam family "Eukaryotic small subunit ribosomal RNA". The record is from RNAcentral.